CACAGUUCACAUAAGGCUCUCCAGUCCCUCGCAGCCCCGCACCCGGACACGCACCCUCCUCACAAAGCUACCACACAUGCCCCAGCCCGGGAUUACACGAUGGAGACAGCAUUUCCCAGUACUGGUUGUUUCCAGCUGCUACAAGUGGAGCUGGAGCCGAGCAACGAACCGAGAGCGGGGACACUUCGCUGCACUCUCAGUGACCUCUCUGCUGGCAUCGAGGCAACGUGAAGGAAGAAGCUAUCUGAUUCACAGGCAGGACGAGAGCUGGAUCUAAGGAGAACCAGCAGGCUACUGGAAUCGGGAACACGUGGGAUGAACACGAGGACUUGCAGGGAAGGCAGAUAUGCAGGACUGGCAGGACGGGAAUACUAGGUUUUGAAGCCAGCAAAGGAAGUGACGACGGGCAGAGGCUGAAGCUCCAGAUGUUAGGGCUGUAGGCUACGGGGCUGGUGUGGGUGGAUGGAGGAUGGAGGAAACAAAUUGCCCAGGAAACUGAGGCACAAGUGAGAGAAGCUGCUAAGGAGGCUGGGAUGGAGAGGGAAGGUGUACUGUGCGCACAGGACUGGCACUGGAAAGCAGAGGAGUUUCAGCAAUAAUCGGGACAAGGGGCUGGCAGGCAACGGAUGCUUUUGGUUCAGAAACUGAUCCAUACCCAUAGCAUGACUGAAAAGCUAACAUGAUUUUGAUGUUGAGAAAAAAUUACAGGAGAUAGAAAAAACAGGAAAGUUGUGAUAAUUUGGACUAGUCCACACAGGCAGCUGGAACACGCCGGCCUUACCACCUCCAUUUAGAUUGGGAAAGCCAAAUGGAAAGGGUUAAAGGACAUUUGUACAGAGAAGCUCCUAGAAGCAGCUACAUUGGCAUAAAUGUAAGAUUACACUUAAGCAGUUUUAUAAGCACGGUUAUAGUCCCUCUAUACAUGGCUUCUGCACCCGUAAAAUAUUAUUUGGUUUUAUAAAAAAAAUAUUUACAGAUAGAUUUAAUAAGUCAUCUAGACUUUUCUUCAACCAGCUAAUUCAUGUGUAACUCUGGAAAUGCCAGAGCUGAUGUUGCAGCAAAUGGAGCGGGGCAGAGAGGAGCUGGAACUGUCUGGUUCCAGGCUGUUGGGGCUGUGCACCUGACAGCACCCUGCAUGCAGUCGGUG
This is a long non-coding RNA of Cygnus olor (mute swan), 1147 nucleotides long. RefSeq lists it as uncharacterized. The record is from RefSeq and is a predicted model, not a curated record. The transcript has 3 exons. NCBI's taxonomy places the organism in Eukaryota, Metazoa, Chordata, Aves, Anseriformes, Anatidae.